Molecule: non-coding RNA, 8842 nt
Organism: Equus caballus (horse)
Lineage: Eukaryota; Metazoa; Chordata; Mammalia; Perissodactyla; Equidae
Source: RefSeq, a predicted model, not a curated record
AAAAGUGCCCACUAAUUUCCAAGAUGAAGCCCAAGUGAAUGGGAGAAUGUUGGAACAUAAACAGAGUGAAGUAAAGAAGAGAAGCUAAUUCUGUAGGGAAGAUGAUGCUUCUUUUAGGUUAAGAUCCAGCUGGCGAGACAUCGUGAGGAUAAGGAGAUUGCCUGACCAACUGGGAAAUAGCAGUCUAUACAGACGUCAGAGGCGCCUCUGGAGGGGAGUAUGCUGUAAUGCAGGGGAAGAGAGACUAACACAGUGACAGAGAGAAAGUUGCAGGGACAAAGGAGGCCCUGACUCCAGUUCCCAAGAUCCCCAUCAAGCCGUAUUCUGUUGGAGCCCCUCCCCAGGCCAUGAGAACUGCAUCAGAAACUUGGAUCUGAGAGUGAGGAGAAGGUCUUAGGGAAAAAACGGAUGGAAUCACAGCUGAGUUUACUCUGUGGAUGUGUUUUGUUUGGCUAAUAUGGUAUCUUAUUUUUCUUUAAAUUUAAAGGCCUUCAGGUGUGGAGUCUUCGGUUUACCACAGUCCGCAGCACCAAGUGUUAUUAAAUACAGAACAGUUUCGGUUAUUUUUGUUGGCUGCCCAGUCUUGAAGACAUUUAUGAUCCUGAUUACAAUUCCAUGGCUGGAAAUGGAGAAUGGGGAGGUGUACUCUUACUUCUUCCCAGGGCUUAUUUAGGGUGAGGCCUUUUAUGGCUGGAUCUCGGGGAAAAGGGGAAAAGGCUGAUCUGAUGCCCUAGAACUAUUUUUGUUUGUUUGUUUUGUUUUUUAAUUUUUUAAAAUCUCACCUCUAAAGCUAGUCCCAUAGACUACAUUCUCCAACACUGUCUACCUUCUUUCACACACAAGCCCCCGUUUUGCUCUGUCCUGACAGUGUUCAUGCUAAAAUGCUGAAUGCAGUUCCUUUCAAGAAUAUAUAUGUACAUGUAUAUAUUUACUGUUCUUUUGAAAAAUCGUUAACAACAAAAUAGAGCAAAAGAAAGUCUGACACUUGCACCCAAAUAACCCUGACCUUUGAGAUUUUUUCUCCAGCAAAACUAGCUCAACUGAAAAGAAAUUCGCUGGUUGAAAGUUGUAGUUUUAAGUUUAAUUUAUUCACGUGUUACUUAGUAAAUGAAAAGACAGUGUUUAUUAAUUAUGAUUUCAGAUACACAUCUUUUUUCUUAAUACAUUGUCUGUAAUCUGUAAUAUAAUGAAACCGAAAAGCAUUACUUUAAGGAAUUUCAGACCUUGACCUCAUUCUUAUUGUAACUGGCAAUGCAUUCUAUUUUCUUUUUACUGCUGGUUUCUACUGGCAAUUCUGUGGAUAGUGUGCCUAUCUGACUAUAAAGAAUCAAACACUGAAAGGAAAAAAAAGAACUUAGAACAGUUUAAGAAGAGUUUUUCUCCUUUCUUGUAAUUUCCCUGCAAAAUCAACCAAGCGCUGAGCUGUCUUAACUUCGUUUCCGGGAGGAGUGGGAGAGAGCUGGAUAUGGAUUGAAGAACAAUGUCUAAUAAAAAGAAAUGAACAGGUUUAUUGUCUAAGUAAAAAUGAAAUUUAAUAAAAAAAUGGUAUGCUUUUCGUUGUACCUGUGAAUGUUAUUUUAUAGAAAUCAGUAAGAAUUGAAAAAUGGUUAAGGUCGUAAGUUUUAUAUUAUGUGUAUUUUGCCAUAAUAAAAAAAAUUGGAAAAAAAUCAGUAAGAACUGAGGCAAGUUACGAAUUGUGAUUUGAGAGGAGAGCUUUAGUUUCUGAAGCUCACAGAGUCAGUAUGAGAAUGACUGUUCAAAGCAAGAAGCUAAUUAGCAUGUGUUCAAGUUCUUUAUUGUCAACUGCGAUUAAGUUUGGCUAUUUUCCCCCUUUAAACUAGGAUAGGUUAAUCCAAACAGCAGGAACAGCAAAGCAAAGGAAAAGAAACAUAAAAACUUGUGGCAGAGAAUAUUCUUGGAAAUUGAUACCUUCCACGGGUAUCUUGUGCAAUUUGAAAACAAGUGUUUUAAUUGUAUGAAAAUCCAUUAAACAUCCGUUAAGGAGCUGUCUCAGAAUAUUGUAUCAUUAAGUAAUAGCAGUUACUGAUUUUUCUUAGCUGCAAGUGGGAAAUGUGAAGAAGAAACUGGACUAAAGGAGACAUUUUGGAAUGACGUAGUUGGCCUGUAAAACCUGCUCUGAAGUUGUUAUAAUUCUUUCUGGCUCAUUUAUUGUACUUUUCGGGAUUUCAGUCAUGCUCGUCAGUAGAGAGAAGAAACUAAGACUAGGAGGAAGCUGGACAGGAAAAACAGGUUUCCUUCCAGGAUUAUGGUUCUUAAACUUCUUUUGGGCUACGAAUCCUUUGAAAUGUAAAUGGAAAUUCAUUUGCAUAUACCCCAAACUAUCUAUACAUAAAAUUAAUGUUGAGGGUUCAUAGGUUGUCUGAAACUCAUCCAUGAAUCAUCCAGAGUUCUGUGGACCUUUGCUUUAAAGUCUGCCUUCAAGUUUGGGUAGCUAGCAAUCUGAUGCCCAGAGUAAACUUUGACUCAAUGGUGGUCCAGUCUGGAAUAUGGUGGACAGCAGUAGGAGGAUUUAGGCAGUGCUGACUUGCAAAGCUGGGGAGGCAUCAUAAAGAAUUCUCCAGAUCAUCACAUUAUUCCAAACCAGGCUCCAGACUGCAGCUAAGAGUAGAGAGGAAAGGGCUCCAUCUGUCCAUAAAUGAGCAGUUUCAAAUAGUUAACCAGGUUCACACUCCUUAUUGAAAAGGGCAGCCCUCAUAGCAGACUAGAGUACUCAGCAAGCAAUUGAGGCAAAUCUAGCUUGGGCUAACCCAGUAAGGGUUUGGAUACUAUGUGCUACUUGGAGAACUAAGGGCUUAUGCUUGCCAAACACUAUGCCUUUAGCAGCAAACUAAAUUUACAAGCAUCAAGGAGAUUCUUUUUUGUACUUUAUGCCCUGGUUGUAGUUAUCUUAGGAAUUUCUGAGUGGAACCCUGUGGAUAAAGAGUAUCAUAGACUGUAGUUGAGGAUGGCUGAAAAUGUGAGGAAGAGUUAGUGGUACCUGUACAUUUUAUUUCUGGACAUGAACUUGGACCACAGUAUAUAGAAGGUUUGAGAGUAGCAUUUACCUUUUACACAGAAAGCCACACAUAAAGUCACUUGGUAUAGAAAUAGUAUCUUAAGCACUGCUCUUCUCCUUGGGUGAAGGGCAGAUUAGAACUCAUUAUGCCGGUUCCUAGCAGACUUUCUGUAUCAACCCAGUUCUUAAGCAUGACCUUAUUUUUUCCUUCUAAGUCAGUGAUUGAGGCUGUGCUUUAAGGAGAACAUAUUUAUUUGGUAUUUUUUCCUCCCUCUUAAUGACUUGCAUCAUCAGACUCAUCCCCCGAGCAUGGUCUGACUCAGUGUGUCAUCUGGCAUAUCCACACCUGCCACAUUUCAGCCCUGCUCUGUCAUGCAUAAAAGUCCAAGCAACAUGCUGUUUAAAUGGAGCCAGGCUGACAGUUUCCAUUCAUUCAAAUAACAUCUGUGAGAUUUGCACGGAUUAGUAUUCAGAUGACAGACAUCUAGUUUUUAUUCAAAUAAAGAGAUACGGACUGGUUCAUUUUAACCAUGAGCAGGCAGGCACUAGAAUAGAUUCACAUCUCCUCAUUGAAAUGAAUGAAUCAGUGACUGUUAUUUUACCAAAGGUAUUCCAUCUAGCCUGCCAAACCAUUUAGUCCAGGGUCCUGGUACCUUUAUCAAGAAAACAUCACUGGAUGUGGAAAUAAUACUAUAUUUCUUAUUAUUGGGAAAUUGCACUGAACUAGUUAAAAAUCUCAUUAAGUAUCUCCUCUCUUUACUGCACUGGAAGAGUCUACUUUUGAAAUUGCCAGGUUUGCCCAAACUAAUCCACAUAGCUCCCUCAUUCUUCAAGAAGAUGGAAUGUAACCGACUAUGUAGGUUAGAAUGACAGUCAUUUUUCAGCGAUUGGUUUUGGUCAGAUAACUGUUACAAAUUCUGUGACCUGAAGAAGACUGAGGAGGAUGGUGAGAGGAGAUGGUAGGGGGUCAAGAUGUAGAACACAGGGGUACCUAUGGAUUCCGUCUAUUGUGGGAAUUGAUGGCCUUAGCUCCAUGUUGGAAUACGGAUGCCUUAUAGAGAGCUACCCAUCAGCAGGUGUAGACUUAAGGGCAAUUUUCAGAGCACCAGUCAUAAAGAAGGUGGCUCUACGUAAGCUGCCUAUUUGUGUGGCGUAAGCCAGGUAGUCUUAGAGAGUGAGGAACUGCUUCUUUAUUAUUGUAAAUGCUGAAUCAUAGGCAAAACCCUAGAGUCUAGAGUUUCCUGCACUCUUUUUCCCAGGCCAUCCCCAGAAAAAAAUGGGAGGUAGAGUAGAUUAGUGUCCAAUGCCUUCCUGUUCUUUGUUUCCACCCCCAAUGCCCUCCCUCACUCAGACACUCCCUGCACCUUAGGUCUCCUUUCUUUCUUAUCUCCAUCAAAGCUGUAUCUCUUUCAAAAGAAGUCAGAAUCAUAUCUACCUUAACCUUAAAACAUAACUGACUGCUGACUUUUGCUUUGCCUGAAACAAACAAAAAACUGAACAAAAUAUAUGAAACAGUGGCUUCAAGACAUCAGAGAGUGAAGGACAGCAAUCCCUGAGAAACAGGGAACAAGUGAGGUGAGCCCUACAAUGGCCCCAACAUAUGGCAGUGAGAGACACCCAGGCCGCGGUGUGCUGGAGGGGAACCCAGGUGAAGCCUGGUGUACGAACUCUCUAAGUCAAAAAAAUGAGGACAUUUUUGGUUGUCUCUAUGACUAGGGACGCUGUAGACCUCUAGUGGACAGCAGUUGAUGGAGUAGUCCUGAAUAACAAAGAAUUUCCCCAGCCAAAUUGUGCAAGUGCCACUAAGGAGAAACACUGACAGGUGCUCUCUGCCAGAAUGCUGAGGAAGGUUAGGGAGUAUCUAAGACUGUACUGUACUGACACUGGGAUGCCAAAGAUAGAACAAUUUCUGAAAACAGGAGCAGCAUACAAUUAGUUGUUUAGCUUAAGAAUUAUUUAUGGAAGAAAAUAUUAUGACAUGGGAUGUGCUUUGACCAGUCUGAAGGCUUCAGGGAGAAUUUUCUUUGUUUAGGAUAUUGUAAAAACCCAUGAUCCAGAAGCACUCUUUCGUUAGUAAUACAUCCUGAUCUCUUUUGAAUUUUAAUUUUAUCCUGGCAUUGCCUUUUGGGAACAGGUGUCUUUAAAGAAAGAAACAUAUGGUUUGAAUGUGGAUUCAUGAACUGAGUCGCAUUCCUGCGGAUGAAAUGACACUUCAGGCAAAGUGCAGGCUGCCCACCUCAGAGCAUUCUGAUCAUUAAUUAUAAUCUGAUCACCCCAUCACGUCGUCAGCUGGUUGGGUGUCUCUCUAGGGCUCCUGGUCUCCACUUCCUUUUCACACCUGUGGGAGGCCUGCUGCUUAAAAAUCACCUGAUCGAGAAAGCUAUUUUCUUUGGAAGCUGAUCAAGUCUGGUUCAUGCGUUACCAACCACGUGCCAUCGUUCUGAAUUUGCCUCCAUUAAGAUUUCUGAUGGUGGUUGGAAAAACAUAGAAAAGGAAUUGGAGAUAGAAAAAUCUGAACUAAUCUGAAGAAUAGUAGGGGAUCUGGUAAAGAAUUUUGGGAAGAAAUCCAGGGAGUCCAUUUGCAGCUAACUACAUCAGUGUGACUUUGACCAAUGAAAUGUCAGGAGAUGAUAUGUGUUACUUCUGUUCAGAAGCUUCCAGUGUCAUCUUCCCUUCUGCCUGCCUCAGUGAUUGUGAAAACAUGUCAAGAUGGUAACUCCAUUAACUUGGUCCCUGAUUGAUCAGCAGGAGCACUGCAUGCCUGCUGAUAUGUAGCAUGAGUUAGAAAUAAACUUUAUUGUCUUAACCCAUUGUGACUUGGAGGUUGUUUGUUAUCCCAGCAUAAUCUUGUCUAUCCUGAUUGAUACCAGUUCAAAUCUCAGCUCUUCCAAUAAGUAGCUUUGUGGCUUAUAUUGAAAAUUGGCCCCAAGUAGAAGAUACGAAGUAGAAUUAUUUUAUCUCACCCCCCUUUUUAUUAAUUAAUGAGAAAAAUGAAGAAAUUGAGGCUCAAGGCCACACAACUACUCAGUGGAUGAGCAAAGACUAGGAGCCAGGCCUCUUCCCUCCCAAUCCAGUGCUUAAAUAUCAUAUUAGCAGACAUUUAGUUACCUUUCUAAUGCCAAAUAAGAAGAGUCAGAAUCUUUAUUCUCAACAUGAUUGAGGCAAGCUGCUCUUUGCUCCUCAUUUUUAGUGCUUCUGGAAGUUUAAUGGUUAAUCUAAGUCUACAUAGGAAGAGUGGGAGCAUCAGUCUAUUUAUCUCUGCAUGUUAUGACUCACUAACAUUAUUCAGACAUUUUUUUAGGUUGCACAAUUAUUAGGAUGAUUCUCAAAUAUAUGUUUCCACUUACUAUUGACAAAGUGAAGUUCCAGUGUUGUCAAGUUGUAUAACUUCAAAUCCUAGAUGUCAGGGAAUGCAUCAAAACCUAAUUCAGGAAAGACACAGGUAUUGCUUCUUGUAUCAAAUGUUGCUCAAAGCCCUUAGAUAUACUGUAAUUCUCUUUGAAGAGCUCAAAUUUCUUCCAUCUCUAAGACGACAUCUAGAGGUCAUUCUAUUUUAUCCAAAAAGCGUGCAAACUCUUGUAAAUAUGUUCUUCCUUACUAUUUAAAAUAAUAAAAAUUAGAUUAUUUUAAAUGUGUUGAUAUUUAUUUUAAUUGAUUAUUUGUACUUGAUUGUGCUGUGGUACUGUAUUUACUGCAUCAUGUUGUCUGAUCCCAGUUCAGAGUAAGAUGUGCCCAAAUUUAAGAGGUAUUAUAAAUGAAGGCUUGUUUUCAGUUAAUGAUAAACAACGUAGGUAUACUGCUUUCAAAAUUAUAAGGUUGGUAAAUGAAAUUAGAAAAGUUUGCAAAAGUUAAGAUUAUAUGUUCUAGGCAAUAUCAGGCUGAAUAUGGAGACUAGUUCAUUCAGUCAAGUAAAUAUUUAUUGAGGGCCUAUGAUCUUCCAAGCACAAUUCUUGACACUAGGAAUAGAGCUGAGAACAAAACAAAAACCUGUGGUUAUGGAAUUUGUAUAAUAGUGGGAUAAACAGGAAAUACACAUGUAAGUUAUAAUAUAUCAGUAGUGACAAAUGGUGGGAAGAUUAUAGCAGAGUAUGGGGCUAGAGAAGGGGUGUUAUUAUUAGAGAGGAUUGUCUCUUAGGAAGUGACAUUUGAGCAGGGUCUAAUAAAGUAAGGAAAUAAGCCAUGUGAUUACCUGGGGAAAAUUGUUUCAGGAAGUAGUUAAUAGUGAGUAUGAAGAUGCUGAGGUAGGAGAGUGUUUGAAACUUGCAAAGAGGCCAAUAAAGUGUCAUGAGCAAGGAGAAAAAUGUCAGGAAAUGGGAGUAAGAUGAUACCCAGAGCCAGAUAAGGUGGGCUCUAAUAGGCUUCAGUAAGGAUUUAGGAUGUUAUUCUGAAUUGGAAAACUAUUGCAGGGUGUCCAGGAGCUGAGUGAUAUGACAUAAUUUCCAUUUUCAAAAGAUUGACUCUGGCCACCAUGGGGAGAACUGACUGUUGAUUUACCAGAGCAGAAGCAGAAGAUUUUUUGGGGCACCAGGUGAUGAAUCUGGGAGAAAGAUGGAGAUUAGGUUGGAGCAAGAUAUGAAUAUUAUUGGAAUGUAGUUCUAACAGGAUUUGUUUGAUGGAUUGGAAGAAAAAUUAUGAGGAAUAAGGAGGAAUCAGGGGUGGUGCCCAGUUUUUUACCUGAGAAAUUGGAUGCUUUAUGACAAUAACUGCUGUGAUAGGGAUCUCUGCAGGAGGAAUGUUUGGCAAAGGGUAGGGAAGAGAAUCAAGGGCUCGGUUUUGGAUGUGUUAAGAUUGAAAUACUGAUUAGACAUCCUAGAACAAGUAUGAAGAUUCAGAGGAGAAGUUCAUUCUGGAGAGAUAAAUUUGGGAAUCAUCAGUAUAUAGAAUGUGUUGAAGGCCAUUGGGAUGGAUGGAAUCACCUAAGAGAAAGGGAUGCUAUAGCAUUUUAAGGUUGGGGAGAUGAAGAGGAUCCAGCAAAGGUGACUAAGAAGUAGCAGCCAUGUGGAUAAGAAAAAAAUCAGAACAUGGUGUACCAAAUUCCAAGCUUAAAAAAAGAUUUAGGAAAGGAGGGAGUGAUGAAAUGUAUCAAAUGAUGCUGAGAAUUUGAGAUAAGAGAGUGAAAGGAGAGUGGAAAGGGAUAGGGAUAGAGAUGAGGUUGGGGGCAGGCUGGGAGUGAUAUUAUGUGCUUUUAUGAUGAUAUUAAUUAUACAGAAGAGAGGGGGAAAUGACGAUGUGAUAAGGGAGAAGAGAAAAGAGAUAAUUGCAUGAGAAAAGUCCUUGAGUAGGCAGAGAUGGGACCCAGUAUGUGAGAGAAGUUGGCCCAUACAGAUCAUGGGCAGGUAAUUCACUGAGUCAGUGUGGAGGCAGAACAUACAUAGUUACAGAUGCUAGUGGGUUGGAAGAUGCAAUGGCAGGAAAAUGAAAAAGGACUCUUCUGAUUCUUUCAUUUUUUUAGCGGAAUCAGAAGGAAUGCCAUCAGCUCUGAGUAAAUGGUUUGUAUUUUUGUCUUCCUCAUCAGACUUUUUGUCAAAGUGAGAGAUCAUGUCUUCUCUAUCUUCAUAUCACCAGCAUCUGACCCAGUGCCUAGCAGACAUUAAAUACUUCAUGAGUGAUUGUGAUACUGGCUCAACACAAGGUUGACAUACAGGAAGCCAUAUUGUAGAAAAGAAACCAUAUUGUAAGUUUGAAUGACCUGUGAUUAACUAAACCAGACAUGCUCUGUAGAUUUUAUAGACCCUCUCAGCUGGUGUAAGUUGAAAACUUUGUUCUUCUGAGUGCCUUAGGAAUGUGAUGACCCCGAGGUAGAGAGUCUGUGCUGAUAGCCAUCAU